This is a non-coding RNA of Musa acuminata subsp. malaccensis (wild Malaysian banana), 559 nucleotides long. Lineage: Eukaryota; Viridiplantae; Streptophyta; Magnoliopsida; Zingiberales; Musaceae. The record is from RefSeq and is a predicted model, not a curated record.
CGGGCCCCUCCCGAGGCCUGGUGUUCCGUGGCCUACAUUCCCCGCAUCGUCUACUUCGAGACCUAUGACGUCCACGGCGACAUGACCACGGUGCCCGGCGGAGGUUAUCGAGUCGAUCCGGAUGAACAAGGUCUGCCUCAAGGGCGGCCUCAGGACGCCGGUGGGCGGAGGGGUCAGCUCCCUCAACGUGUAGCUAAGAAAGGAACUCGAUCUUUACGCGUUGAUCAGAGAGAAUACCGAGGGGGAUUACUCCGGUCUGGAGCACGAGGUCGUUCCUGGCGUCGUGAAGAGUCUCAACGUAUGUGGCUUUCCAUUUCUGCCAAAGCUUUGUGAUAACAAAAGUUCUGUUCGAUCUAAUUGCCAAGUAUGCUUUCGAGGAUGCAUGCCAAUACUAUGAAGCUUGUAGAUGGACUGUUGUUAGAAUCAUGCCGUGAGGUUGCAAAAACAUAUCCAGGGAUAAAAAGUAUAAUGAGAUCAUUGUUGAUAACUGCUGUAUGCAACUAGCUUCAAAGCCUGGGCAGUCUGAUGUUAUGGUAUGCUGCAUCAUAUUUAGUUCACA